Molecule: long non-coding RNA, 533 nt
Organism: Zeugodacus cucurbitae (melon fly)
Lineage: Eukaryota; Metazoa; Arthropoda; Insecta; Diptera; Tephritidae
Exons: 2
Source: RefSeq, a predicted model, not a curated record
UGUUACUCAACCAAUGACUCAAAAAAGGGAAUAAUUGCAGUUCUCUGCUUCCCAUGCUUAUAAUAAAUAAUGGUGGCCAAAUAGUGUAACAUGUGCAAGCCUUUAACCAGCAAGUAAUCACUACUCAGACAACAACACCGGCAGUUGCAGCAACAAUUAAUACAUAUUCAAACUCAGAAUACAAGUCGAAAUCGAAAACGCAACCGGCAAAUAACAAGGCAUCGGAUGAUGUACAACAAAUUACAUCGCACUUUUGGAGUAGCAGUUGAAAUAAUUUUCGGCGUGCCUUCUAUGAUGCCCUUGGAUCUACGCAAUGGAUAGCUCGGUAUAUACAGUAGAAAACAUUUGGUUUGAUUACAUAAUUUUUCAUAAUUCUACACACCACCGAGGCGUACUUGGGUUGUGUGCUUCGCUUUUUUUGCUACAAUUGUGGCAAUUACGCUGUUGUGCUAGUAUUUAAUCUUCACAAAAAUGUUAAUGUCCGAUGAACAGUACUUAAAUAAAUAUCAAAUAAAAUAAUUUUUUUUAAUUUA